GUCAGUGUGGUGUAGUGGUUUGAGCAUUAGACUAUGACUCGAGAGACCAAGGUUCAAACCCGGGUUUAGCCA
Non-coding RNA from Phrynosoma platyrhinos (Desert horned lizard), 72 nucleotides. The record is from the annotation of a GenBank genome assembly. Lineage: Eukaryota; Metazoa; Chordata; Lepidosauria; Squamata; Phrynosomatidae.